GAUGAACGCUGGCGGCGUGCCUAAUACAUGCAAGUCGAGCGAACGGACGAGAAGCUUGCUUCUCUGCUGUUAGCGGCGGACGGGUGAGUAACACGUGGAUAACCUACCUAUAAGACUGGGAUAACUUCGUGAAACCGGAGCUAAUACUAGCUAAUACUUUGUACCGCAUGGAUCAAAAGUGCUAGGCAGUCUUGCUGUCACUUAUAGAUGGAUCCGCGCUGCAUUAGCUAGUUGGUAAGGUAACGGCUUACCAAGGCAACGAUGCAUAGCUGACCUGAGAGGAUGAUCAGCCACACUGGAACUGAGACACGGUCCAGACUCCUACGGGAGGCAGCAGUGGGGAAUAUUCGACAAUGGGCGAAAGCCUGAUGGAGCAACGCCGCGUGAGUGAAGAAGGUCUUCGGGUCGUAAAACUCUUUUAUUAGGGAAGAAAAGCUGUGGAAUUAAAUGUGCACAUCUUGACGGUACCUAAUGAGAAAGCAACGGCUAACUACGUG
Molecule: ribosomal RNA, 497 nt
Filed under: uncultured bacterium
Lineage: Bacteria
Description: partial 16S ribosomal RNA
Rfam family: Bacterial small subunit ribosomal RNA
Source: RNAcentral